CGAUCGACACAGAGAGGAUGGUAUUGAUCGAUGUGCGGGACAGAGAGGUACGACACUUUUCUCUAACAUCUCAAACAUCUAACUUUGCUUAUCACCACCUUUGGACACUUUACACCGAGCGGUGUAAUAUAAGUCUGGGGGAGGUAGUACUAACACCAUCUUCUUGAGUUAUGUCAAAAUAUUUUCAAAAAUAAUUUUAUUGAGUAAAGAAGGGGACUAUGAACUUAUGAUUUUUACUCGAAUGUCUAACCACCUUUUAGCACCAUACUAGAUUUACCGAUUGCAGAUAGUACUAAAGAUGCUAAAGUGGAUCAACCUGUCAACUGUACACACUUGCCUAGCUUGUUUGAAAGAACCAAAGCUAACCUCCAACACUAAACCUGACACA
This 388-nucleotide long non-coding RNA is filed under the name Brassica napus (rape). Its description in RNAcentral is "long non-coding RNA (BNAP_LNC024920)". Lineage: Eukaryota; Viridiplantae; Streptophyta; Magnoliopsida; Brassicales; Brassicaceae. The record is from RNAcentral.